RNAcentral lists this long non-coding RNA (3438 nucleotides) under Gallus gallus (chicken). RNAcentral's name for it is "lncRNA (ENSGALG00010014322.1)". The record is from RNAcentral. Lineage: Eukaryota; Metazoa; Chordata; Aves; Galliformes; Phasianidae.
AGAAGUGUUGGGGUUUUCUGCUCCCAGAACUUCAUUGUUAAAGAAAGGAGGAGGAAUUUGUCCUUCCCUCCACUUGGCAAGCAAUGCGCAUGUUCCUUUCUGUAAACAGCAGACUAAUUUGAGCAGUGAGCAGCCCCCACUGGCUUCUGGCUUUUACUAACUGUAGGCUGAGGGCUCAGUGCAACAAAAACUUGAGUUGCCCACAGAACAGCUACUCUGAUUCAGAUGAAAGCUGGGGAGGACUUCGGUCCUUCUUGGAAAAUACUUGUGCUUUUUUGUUGAUUGUUCUUGUUCCCAACAGAGACAGAAGUGAACUAAUCUCCCAAACUGGGAUGCUCAGAGAUGUCCAAAGUGAGAUAGGACUGGCAAGAAUACAAUACACAGAUUAAUAAGGAAGUCAUUAAGGGAUAGAAAAGCUCUGAUGUGAUGGAGUGGCUUUUAGUUUGAAGAAAAAUAGAAUGUCUUGCUCCUGAGUACCCUGAACAAUGAAGAUGAAGAUACCUGUUCCAGAAAGUAGACUUGGACCCCCAAGUUGUUUCAUACUUAGGUCCUGGGAAAUUAACUGCAAGGAGCCACUGUAAGGUGCUAGACCUGAAGUUCCCAUCCUGUGGUCCAAGAAAAGCUGGCACAUCACAUGCAUUUCAGAAAUGCACACUUUAUCAUUCAGUGAUUUACCAACACAACGUUGAGAACUGAAAAGGAGGCAGACAGAUAUGUUCUUUACCUUUUAUGACACCCGGGGCCAGUUUCCUGUUCAACUUAAUCUAAACUCAAGAAUAAUAUUUUAUCUGCUCCUUCCAAAUUUCAAAACUUUAACAACAACAGCAACAAAAUGGAUAGAGGAUGCUGCCUUUUGCAUGCCAUGUGAAGAAGCCAGAGACAGAAUGGAACGGAAAUCUGAGAACAGAUUUGGAGUGGCAGAGUUGCACAUGAAGCAUGUAGGAUGAGGUGCCACGUGGCAACAGCUUUCUCUUCUGGCUGUGCUGAGGAGCUCUCAGCACACUGUACUCCCACCUGAGAUCACAAUGGUGGCUGAGAAAUCUUUGUUGCUCCCUUUUCUCCCAUCAGCAACACUCAUAUCCAGGCUGAAUAAAUCCUUCAACAGCAUUCUUUGCUUGUGGCCGUUUGAUGUGCUUCCAAGCAGCUACAAACAUGGGAGACACCCAAACUGCUUAGUGCCAGAAAGGCUGAAACUGCACUGCCAUGGGAGCCUGAACGGCAGAGGGGCCACCUGGCAGUGCCCUGCAGGACCCAAGGUGCUCACCCACCCACUACGCAAGAAGCUCCUCAUGUCCUUCCGCUCUGCGGUGGGCAGCACCUGGAGUGCCUUUCCUAGCUCUGAUUCUAUUCUUCUGCUCCAAAGCAACAAGCCAAACUCCCCACCAGCAUUCAACCUCCGUGCCAAAAAGAAAAUAACAAGAGUAAAAGCACUGCACAACAGAAACACAUAGGACAGUGAAGAGGCUGGGAUUGCUGGGGAGUCCAGCAUAGUCGCGUCGGGGUGCUCAGGUCGGUGCUGCUGCAGCAUUCAUCCAGGCCAAUGGGGAAGGUAGGUGGUUGGUGGCUGUGAGCACCUCCCCUGGAUGGAAAAUGACACCUCUGCACAGCUCUGGACAUUUCUGAAUGCCACAGGAGGUUGGGGAGACCAGCCCAGCUGGAAAGAGGGUAGACAUGCUCCAGCAUCAAUGCCAUCAGCUCUGACAAGGUCCUGGCUGGCUGCAGCACGCUGAUGUCCUCAUAAACCAAGGCUCUCUCUCUGAUGGCUGUGCAAACGAGAAGCUGGGCUUAACUGGAGCACAGUGCUGUUGCUGGCUUUAACUCUCCAAUGAACUCUCCAAUUCCCAUUUUCCCAGGGCAGUUCAGCGCCAGGGUAAAUCAGUGCAUGUGUGCAGCCCUGCUGCCAGCUGGCUGCUCCUGCCUGCAGCGGUGUCUGGUCACAGCUCUGGGGAUGUGCCCUGCAAGUCCCCCCUUGGCAGCACCUCCUGCCUGCCACGCUCACUUCCUUCAGCCUUUGCCUUUCUCCCUGCUCUGGUCCUCUGACUUCAGAACAUGGCUUUCUGUUUUAGUUCACUUCUGUAUUUAUACUGGGCCAAACUGACUGGAUACUUUCUGAACAGGGUGACCUAGGAGUUUUGAACAGACCAUCUUGUCAAAAGUUCUGUUAUUUCCCUUACCAAUGUGGUUUGAUUUGUUUUAUUUUCUUUUUUCUUGGUAAAACUGUCAAUAGGAACCACUUUUUGAAAGUCAGAAGAUGCAAAGCAGACCUUCCACAAGGAUUCCCCAAGGAGCAGAGAAUUUGAGGAUCACUGCGAAGGGCAUCAUUGCUCCUUGCUGUUCAUCCCAAACUGUCUUCAUUCUCUCACCCUGUGUAUUCCUGCACAACGGGACUGAGGGAAGUGCAUGAGAUCUAUUGCUGAACUGUGGUGUGGAUAGACUUUGUCUUCCUCAGCUAGCAUUCUGUCACCUUUCAAGAGUGAAAAAUUCAUUUUUAAAACAAAAAUCCCAAGUAAGAAACCUCACAUAGUUGCAGGAAACCACCACAGAGGUAUACAAUAUCCAGCGGAAGACCUUGCUGAAAACUGAACAGAUUACUCUUGUUAUAUGUGGUUAAACUGGGCCAUUAAUGCUAAAACAGUUCAAAGCACAAAAUAAAUUCUGAUUUUCUCCUGUCAAAGUUGGUGGUUUGGUGUUCACACAUUCUAGGCUCCGGUUAAAUGAUUUACUGUACAAUUUAAUGCCUUUCAGCUGUCACUCGCAAAAAGGAUCCCUUGAAUGAUCUGCCAGUGAAUGAAGGCAGCACUUGCCCAGGGUGAAGUGUGGCCAGGGCUGCAGGACCCAACUUGCCAAGAUACUCAGGAACAAUCACGUAAGCCACUGUGACCCAUGUGUGGUACCCAGCGAAGUGAAGGCCACCUUGCUGUGAUCACAUCUGCAAAACCACUUCAUUUAAAGCAUACUGAGACGUUCACUCUGCUGUGGAACUUUUACGAGCAACUGCCUUUACAACAGCUCGCACCAUAGGCACGCUGCUAUUCUUUGUCCUUCUUUUGAACUCUUCUCUGCUCCCGGUCUUCCAGCGGUGUGAUUUUUUGAAGUUUUCCUUCACAAUAGCUUCUCAAAAUCCCAGUUCUCACAUAUCAACACAAAUAGGAGAAACAGUUGCCAUGGGACAGUGAAAAACAUAUUUCAGGAGCUCAGGAGCAAAGAAGGAAAUAAAAAAGGCACUGGAUUUCAGCAGUUACGUGUUGUAGUGUUUGACGUAGCUCUGAGUUCUUUGCUUUGUCUCUAGCUGCAGUGGUACUGUGCCUCUCAUGUUCAGCAGUGGGUGCACUCAGCAGUGGGUGCAGCUCUUAGCAGUGACCUCAUGGGGACACAGCAGUGCCCAGCACUGCAGCCAUGUUCUGUGGAACAGAGAGAAUACUGGUGUCACCUAAAACU